This 509-nucleotide ribosomal RNA is filed under the name uncultured bacterium. RNAcentral's name for it is "partial 16S ribosomal RNA". The record is from RNAcentral.
GGAGUUAGCCGGUGCUUCUUCUGUGAGUGAUGUCCUUCCUGCCGGCUAUUAACCCGCAGGCCUUCUUCCUCACUGAAAGUGCUUUACAACCCGAAGGCCUUCUUCACACACGCGGCAUGGCUGGAUCAGGGUUGCCCCCAUUGUCCAAUAUUCCCCACUGCUGCCUCCCGUAGGAGUCUGGGCCGUGUCUCAGUCCCAGUGUGGCUGAUCAUCCUCUCAGACCAGCUACGGAUCGUCGCCUUGGUGAGCCGUUACCUCACCAACCAGCUAAUCCGACAUAGGCUCAUCCGAUAGCGCGAGGCCCGAAGGUCCCCCGCUUUCCCCCGUAGGGCGUAUGCGGUAUUAGCCUGGGUUUUCCCCCAGGUUAUCCCCCGACUACCGGGGCAGAUUCCUAUGCAUUACUCACCCGUCCGCCGCUCGCCACCAGGGAGCAAGCUCCCCGUGCUGCCGCUCGACUUGCAUGUGUAGCGUGCCGCCAGCGUCAUCUGAGCCAGAACUACAACUACUGA